RNAcentral lists this ribosomal RNA (255 nucleotides) under uncultured Cerasicoccus sp. RNAcentral describes it as "partial 16S ribosomal RNA". It matches the Rfam family "Bacterial small subunit ribosomal RNA", at positions 522 to 776 of the family's 1533-position model. The record is from RNAcentral. Lineage: Bacteria; Pseudomonadati; Verrucomicrobiota; Opitutia; Puniceicoccales; Cerasicoccaceae.
UACGUAGAGACUGCAAGCGUUACUCGGAUUCACUGGGCGUAAAGGGAGCGCAGGCGGAUUGGUGUGUCAGAUGUGAAAUCCCGGGGCUCAACUCCGGGGCUGCGUCUGAAACUACCGAUCUAGAGAUUCGGAGGGGCUAGUGGAAUUCCUGGUGGAGCAGUGAAAUGCGUAGAUAUCAGGAGGAACACCAACGGCGAAGGCAGCUAGCUGGACGAAAUCUGACGCUCAGGCUCGAAAGUAUGGGGAGCAAAAAGG